UACGUAGGAGGCGAGCGUUGUCCGGAGUACUGGGCGUAAAGCGCACGCAGGCGGUCAGAUCAGUCUGGAGUGACAGUCGUCGGCUUAACCGACGAAGUGUUCUGGAAACUGUCUGACUUGAGGGCUUCAGAGGGACACGGAAUUCCGGGUGGAGUGGUGAAAUGCGUAGAGAUCCGGAGGAACACCAAAGGCGAAGGCAGUGUCCUGGGGAGUACCGUGACGA
This 223-nucleotide ribosomal RNA is filed under the name uncultured bacterium. RNAcentral's name for it is "partial 16S ribosomal RNA". It matches the Rfam family "Bacterial small subunit ribosomal RNA", at positions 524 to 746 of the family's 1533-position model. The record is from RNAcentral.